GGGAAGGGGGACAUACGGAUUAAAAAGGUGCUCCUUCCAUUAUCAAUAAUUUACAGAUAUACUGAGCUGCUUCCUCAGACCAAGAAAUUUUGAAAUUAAAGAGCUCCCAGAAUUUCAACUUGUUGAACCUCAGUAGUUUACAAUGAAAAUGUGAGAAGAUUGCUGACUCUACAGAACCAAUAUGGAGGAGCCCAACUAGUUUGUUGAAGAGAAAAAAGGAUGUGCUGAUGAGCAACAUAGUGUGUACUGAAGAAAAACCUCCAUGUGGCUGCAAAAGGCGUGAAUACAACCAAUGUAUGGAAAGUCCUGA
Molecule: long non-coding RNA, 310 nt
Organism: Ailuropoda melanoleuca (giant panda)
Lineage: Eukaryota; Metazoa; Chordata; Mammalia; Carnivora; Ursidae
Exons: 3
Source: RefSeq, a predicted model, not a curated record